Molecule: long non-coding RNA, 889 nt
Organism: Chiloscyllium plagiosum (whitespotted bambooshark)
Lineage: Eukaryota; Metazoa; Chordata; Chondrichthyes; Orectolobiformes; Hemiscylliidae
Source: RefSeq, a predicted model, not a curated record
AACAUGGAACAUCAGGGAGCAAUGCAGCCGGCCUCUUGCUCAGACAGUUCUGGUGUGCUGUGCUCACCAACACCGGAGAAACUGCAAACAGCCGUCUUCCAAUAGCUGGCUUAAGCUAAGGAAGGUUCCACAAUUCUGGACCAAAUGGACAAAGAGAGAAAUCCAGGGGACUUACUAAAGAGAAUUAAGCAACAAAACAGCACCAAACUUGACUUCAACGUUAGAGCAGUGAUGCAAUCUACAAAGCAUAUACAACAUAUUUCUAAUGCUCAGAAUUAACACGUGGUCAUACUUUAAUGCCUGAUGUUUGACCAAUUAAAAACUCAGCAGCUGGAGCAGCAUGCUGAGGUUCUAAAGGAGGAGAUGGUCAGAAGGAAUGGCCAGUGCCAACAGAUGCAGAGACUCGAUGGUCAAGGGCUGCAGUUGAGAAGGAAUCGGCUGUUUUUGAAGAUGGGGACCAAUGUGUCCAGAGCCAUUGGGCUGUGACCCGAGAGAGAGAGAGAGCGUACUGAAGGCAUUGUAGAUUCCUACUGAUGAGUAAAACGCGAAGUGUCCUCCCAUGAUUCAGGAAGCAGUCACCAAAUCCGCCACCUCUCGGAUCUGCAGCCAUUUGGCAUGAGGCAUCACUAUGUUUGUAGCAAUGAAGAUCAUAAUGGCUUUGAACUUGUUAGUCAAGGGAGGCAAUGGCCUAGUGGUCUAAUGGCUGGGCUAUUAAUCCAGAGACACAGCUAAUGUUUUUGGGACCUGGAUUCAAAACUUGCCAUGGCAGGUGAUGGAAUUUGAAUUCAAUAAAAUUCUGAAAUGGUGACCAUGAAAUGUUGUCGAUUGUUGGAAAAUAAAUCUGGUUCAUUUUAGGGAUAGAAAUCUGCCCACUUUACCUGGUCCGACC